AUUGAACGCUGGCGGCAUGCCUUACACAUGCAAGUCGAACGGUAACGGGCCUUCGGGUGCCGACGAGUGGCGAACGGGUGAGUAAUGCAUCGGAACGUACCUUUCAGUGGGGGAUAACGUAGCGAAAGUUACGCUAAUACCGCAUAUUCUGUGAGCAGGAAAGCAGGGGAUCGCAAGACCUUGCGCUGAUUGAGCGGCCGAUGUCAGAUUAGCUAGUUGGUGAGGUAAAGGCUCACCAAGGCGACGAUCUGUAGCGGGUCUGAGAGGAUGAUCCGCCACACUGGAACUGAGACACGGUCCAGACUCCUACGGGAGGCAGCAGUGGGGAAUUUUGGACAAAUGGGGGCGAACCCUGAUCCAGCCAUGCCGCGUGAGUGAAG
Molecule: ribosomal RNA, 380 nt
Filed under: uncultured bacterium
Lineage: Bacteria
Description: bacterial SSU rRNA
Rfam family: Bacterial small subunit ribosomal RNA
Source: RNAcentral